Molecule: long non-coding RNA, 351 nt
Organism: Hippopotamus amphibius kiboko
Lineage: Eukaryota; Metazoa; Chordata; Mammalia; Artiodactyla; Hippopotamidae
Exons: 3
Source: RefSeq, a predicted model, not a curated record
GACUGUGACCAAGAUUACAGCUGAGGACCUUUCUGUCCAUCAAGAUCAUAAUGAAAUUAGAGGCACCCCUUCACAAACCUCGCCUUGAGGAGUCUGGGAGAAGCUAAACUGGAUACAACUGUUAACAUUUGUUUUGCUAAUACAAUUUACGGAUGGAGUGCCAAUUACCAAGAAAUUGGAAGCUGGGACCAAAGGCUUGACCAGACUCAUGUGUGACGCUUCUGCAAGAUUAUAUAUAGGUGGUAUUAUCUUUUAUGUUAUCAAUGCUAAAAUUCUACCAGAUCUCUCUAGGCAUUAUGGUGCCUCAAGCUUAUCUCUAACAUAUUACUUAGAACUUGAAAAAUAGUUCAU